RNAcentral lists this ribosomal RNA (253 nucleotides) under uncultured bacterium. RNAcentral describes it as "partial 16S ribosomal RNA". It matches the Rfam family "Bacterial small subunit ribosomal RNA", at positions 524 to 776 of the family's 1533-position model. The record is from RNAcentral.
UACGUAGGCAGCAAGCGUUGUUCGGAGUUACUGGGCGUAAAGGGUGUGUAGGCGGUCCCCUAAGUUUGGUGUGAAAUCUCCCGGCUCAACUGGGAGGGUGCGCCGAAAACUGGGGGGCUUGAGUAUGGGAGAGGAAAGCGGAAUUCCUGGUGUAGCGGUGAAAUGCGUAGAUAUCAGGAGGAACACCUGCGGUGUAGACAGCUUUCUGGACCAUCACUGACGCUGAGACACGAAAGCGUGGGUAGCAAACAGG